Long non-coding RNA from Lates calcarifer (barramundi perch), 1079 nucleotides. RefSeq lists it as uncharacterized. NCBI's taxonomy places the organism in Eukaryota, Metazoa, Chordata, Actinopteri, Centropomidae. The transcript is spliced from 5 exons. The record is from RefSeq and is a predicted model, not a curated record.
UUACGCCCUUGAUCACUGAAAAAGCCUACAAGUCCCAUAUAUAUCGUUUGGUAGCCAUGAAGGUUAAGCGCUUAAGUUUUUGUUUCUCUGCCAAGCAACAGUGGGGAUAUGCGAGUCAACAUAUGAAAUGAGUGACAACAUACACAAAACCAGCAGGGGUUGUCCCGGACGACCCCAAACGCCCCCGGGCUGUGGUACGCCGACCAGCCGUUAACCCCUCUCGGUCUGCCGCACAUUUAAGCUAGCUGAAGUUACUUACGACACAAGAUAAAUUAGACGGCAAUUAUAUUAGCUUAAAGUAAAUGUGAAGUUAGCUGGUGGUCCUGGGAAGCUUGACGUUAGCUGUGUCACGACAAAACAAACACUACUAAACUUUCCCCAAACGAAACACCUCGGAGGCUGUUCCACUGAGGAGACGUGUCGAUGCCCCACAGUAUCCACAGCCUGUUGUGUGAGCCAGUAGAGGGAGUCCAAGGCUUAAAUCCUGCUUCUGCGUUUUGAUUCUGCCAGGAGCUCAGCCUUUGAAUCAGAUGGUCAUCUUGUCUUUGCUGCCACAGAAAAGGACGCCUUUGGACUUGGCUGAGGUCAGCGGCGGAGGAGUACACCACGCUGAGAGGUGUGAUGUGGCUCUGUUGGUUUGACCCACACCUGCUGCGUAUCCUUCACUCAAGCACCAGAGGGGUUACAGAGAGGCUGGAGCCUAUCCCAGCAGACUGGAGCGAGAGGCGGGGUACACCCUGGACAGGUCGCCAGUCUAUCACAGGGCUGACAUCUAGGGGCAAUUUAGAGUGUCCACUUGGCCUAAAAUGCAUGUCUUUGGAGUGUGGGAGGAAACCGGAGCACCCGGAGUAAACCCACGCAGACACGGAGAGAACAUGCAGACUCUACACAGAGAGACAAACCUCCCUCUGCGCAGGUACAGUGCUAACCACUCCACCACCGUGCUGCCCACAUAGUGACGGGGAAUUUGGAGUGACGGAAAAUACCAGCAAAUGUCUGAUUCCUCUCCCGCUGCAGCCACAUUUGCGUCCGCAGCUCCUCUUCACCUGGCAUGGAGGAGGUUUACUGGGGGGAAGUAU